AUUGAACGCUGGAGGCGUGCUUAACACAUGCAAGUCGUGCGAGAAAGGGACUUCGGUCCUGAGUAGAGCGGCGCACGGGUGAGUAACGCGUGGGUAAUCUCCUUUGGUGAUCGGGAUAACAGCGGGAAACUGCUGCUAAUACCGGAUAAUCUUCAUGUUUAACUUCAUGGGGUAAAGGUGGCCUCUGCUUGCAAGCUACCACAUCAAGAUGAGCCCGCGUCUCAUUAGCUAGUUGGUAGGGUAAUGGCCUACCAAGGCUACGAUGAGUAGCUGGUCUGAGAGGAUGACCAGCCACACUGGGACUGGAACACGGCCCAGACUCCUACGGGAGGCAGCAGUGGGGAAUAUUGCGCAAUGGGCGAAAGCCUGACGCAGCGACGCCUCGUGAGGGAUGAAGGUCUUCGGAUCGUAAACCUCUGUCAAGAGGGAAGAAACCCUUGGAUUCGAAUAGGGUCCUUGGCUGACGGUACCUCAAAAGGAAGCACCGGCUAACUCCGUGCCAGCAGCCGCGGUAAUACGGAGGGUGCAAGCGUUAAUCGGAAUCACUGGGCGUAAAGCGCUCGUAGGCGGUUUGGUCAGUCAGAUGUGAAAGCCCUCGGCUUAACCGGGGAACUGCAUUUGAUACUGCCAGACUUGAGUGUCGGAGAGGGUGGCGGAAUUCCGGGUGUAGGAGUGAAUCCGUAGAUAUCCGGAGGAACACCAGUGGCGAAGGCGGCCACCUGGACGACAACUGACGCUGAGGAGCGAAAGCGUGGGGAGCAAACAGGAUUAGAUACCCUGGUAGUCCACGCGGUAAACGAUGGAUGCUGGGUGUCGGGGGUUUACCUUCGGUGCCGCAGUUAACGCGUUAAGCAUCCCGCCUGGGGAGUACGGUCGCAAGGCUGAAACUCAA
Molecule: ribosomal RNA, 892 nt
Filed under: bacterium enrichment culture
Lineage: Bacteria
Description: bacterial SSU rRNA
Rfam family: Bacterial small subunit ribosomal RNA
Source: RNAcentral